Molecule: non-coding RNA, 3557 nt
Organism: Phoenix dactylifera (date palm)
Lineage: Eukaryota; Viridiplantae; Streptophyta; Magnoliopsida; Arecales; Arecaceae
Source: RefSeq, a predicted model, not a curated record
AAACAGAGCAUCUAGAAAGAACGAGAGAGAGAGAGAGAUGAAGCUAUGGCACGCGAUGGUGUGGUCGUCGAACCAGAACCCAGGCCGGGGGGGGGGGGGGGGGGGGGGGGGGGGGGGGAACCUUCUCUUCGGGAGCCCAACGUCUACGAGUUCGGCACCCCCUACAAGAACAUCUACGACGACCUCCGCCGCAAGGUCCCCGAGCUGUAUAGGCGCAACGGGAUCUUGCCGAUGCUCAAGAGGAAUUCGAGUGUGAAGACUGCACCCCAAACAUGGCAGGAGAAUGCAGCCGGUGGGUGCUUUGAUGUUGUUUUCACCUUCGAAGAGAAGGUGUUCGAUAUGGUCAUUGAAGCUUAAAGCAAUAGAUUGCUGGGAGGAUGCAAUAGAUGGCAUUGUUGCCGUUUUUGAGAAGCAGCGCAAGCAAAAGCUCUUGUAUAGCAUUUCCUUCUACUAGAAGUACAUGGAUGCAGAUUACCUGGGGAUGUAUCCACUUUUGUACUCAAAUCUUGUACCAUGCCCUUAUUAUUCAGCAUGUGAUAGUUUAGUGUGAUUUACUAUUUCAUCAACAUAAAUAGAUAGAUAGACAAAUAGAUAUAUAGAUAGAUAGAUAGAAAAGAUCAUGAUAUACUAUAUAUUAAUCAAACACGAAAUGGAUGAUAGGAAUAUAACCAAUGAGUAAAAGUACAUUAUAAAUUAUAUAAUUUGCAAAUCCAAAAUAUUACUCUUGAAUCUUGAUCUUGAUAUAUAUAUAUAUAUAUAUAUAUAUAUAUAGAGAGAGAGAGAGAGAGAGAGAGAGAGAGAGAGAGAGAGAGAGAGAGAGAGAGUGGGGAUGGUAAAUUAGGAUUUGGUUGAGUGGAUUUUUCCACUCAGAUUCAGUUAGGCCUAUGCAUCAAGUGGUUGAAAGUUGGAUAAUUUAAACAAUAUGAAAUAAUACACGCCAUCAUAAGAAUCAUAAUUAUAAAAGAAGUCAUGGUAGCAGGGCAGGCAAUAGAAUAGCAAGAAUUUCCAAGCAAACUGGUCUGAUUUUUUGACGUUACUAAAUUCUGCCUCAGAUCAUUAAGUAUAUUAAAAAAAAUUACUUUACUAUAUUAUAAGAAUAUAAUUCAAAAGAAAAUAGUCUGGUAUGUAUUAUGUACAGAGUUGCAUAAGUAAAUAUCUAUUUUAGACAAUUAACUGAAAUUUAACAAUUGUAUUCAAUUUCCUCCAAUAUUUUCAGAAUUCAGAGAAUGUCUUGUGACAAUUGUUAUUUUUGUUUUUCGUUGUAUCUAAAUUUUCAUCCUUAUUUCUUGUUUUUCUGUUCUUAAUGUAGAAUAUUAGAUAAAUAAUUGAAAAAAGGUUUAUUCUAACAAUAAUCAUGGAGACAAGAAAUUGCUACUGAAUCAUAAUUUAAUAUUUUUACUAGUACAUAAAUUCCAUUUAUUAUAGCUACCAUGUAAGACAUACCAUAUGACACAACAAAAACAUGACCACAUGAGUUACAAUGGCUCGAAUCAUUGAUGUGGGAUCCCCAUCAUCCAUUUCAAAAAGAUGUAAUAAAAGUUACAAUAGGUGUAGGGGAAUGCAUCAGUUUUCAUCUCAAAAUUUCCAGGGAUAAUAAAAAAGAGAAAAAUACAUCAACUUUAAACUUGACCAAUAACCAUCAUCCAAUCUAUUAUCCAUAUGUGGUCAGUUUAAUUAAUUAACAUCUGGUCAAUCAAAUUUUAGAACUUUUGAUAUCCACAUAAAAUGAGAUGUCAAAAGUUGUUUCAUCCUCUGCUCUUCUUUGCAUUGGGUGUUUGCUAUGUCUGCAUUGUACAUCAAAUUUCUCAUGGAUGGGAAUUAUCCUGCAGUAUGGAAGGCAAUGAAAAGGCCUCCUGCCUCUGUAGCUCUUACUAUAUAUUGUUUCAUCUCUCUGUGGUUUGUUGGUUGUCUCACGUGCUUUCAUUUGUAUCUAAUUGGUACCAACCAGGUCAGUUCUUUCUUUCCUAUUGCUUGAUAGGAUUGAUUACAUGUUCUGUUAUCUUGUUCUAAAUUCAGUUGUACCUGAUAGAAAAUCUGCUAUUGAUGUUCGGAUAUAUAUAUGAUGCAGCACCGGUACAGCCACAGUAGCUUGUUACUAUGUUAAUAAUCUCUAAUUGUAAGCAAGUCUUUUGAUUGAUUACCAAUGUAUGGUCAUCUUAGUCUUGCAAUUUUGAGUCAUAUUACUAAUUCCAUUGUUUGACAGACUCAAACCUAUGGCUCUAUUUUGGUAGGUGCAAUAUGUUGAAAAUCGUUAAAAAAGGGUAGCCCAGUGCAUGAGGCUCCCAUAGUUGCUAAUUAAAAAAAUGUUCAAAACACUAAAUCUGGAUUUACCCAUCUAACAGAAUAGUGCUUCAAAACUUUAAAAAAAAAAAGAACAUGUCAGGAAUGAAGAUGCUGGAGUUAAUUAGAAAUUGAGAAAAAGAAUGUUGGCCAGCUGCUACAAAUGCUUCUCAUUGAAAUCCAUGUUUUUAGUGGAUGGUCACAGGUAAAAAGCCAAUUCUGAAUGUGGGUAUGUGAUUUAUCAAAGUAACAAUGCCAGAAAUAAUUCUCUACUACAAAAUUCAUGCUCUUAGUUCUAAUUUUUGGUUCAACUGUAAUGGUGGAUUAUUCAGAUGCUGUGCUAGGCAUCCUAUUCUUCCCUCUUGCUAAUGAAAUCCUAGUCAAGUUGUGUUAGGUUUGUGCUUUGCUAUCCAAACUUCCAUUUGAUUGACAUUAUAUGACAGUAACAUGUGAAUUUAUACAUAUUUUCAUGAUGCCUAUGAGAAUUACUGAUACAGAGCUGACAAGAGGUCCAAUAUCUAUGCCCAAGGUUGCUUGAGAAACUACCAAGAAGUAUUUUGCACAAGGAUAGAACCUUCAAGAAAUAAAUUCCAUGCCUAUGUACAAGGGGAAGUCAUGAGACCACCACCUUCAGCCAUUUCAGGAGGGUGGAAGAUGAAUCAGAUGGUGACAUGCGUAUAAAAGCUGAAGAUGGUGGGGAUCUACUGAAGAUCUCCCAACACCAUAACUACGAAGAGGCUGAUGAGGAGAUUAGUGGUAGAAAGAGCAAUGGGCUUCAGAAUGCAGUCUCUGAAUCAGAGCUCAUCUCGGGUUCUGAGUUGCAAUUACCCGUCACCAGGUCUGAGUUAAGGUAUUCAAGCUGGGAUGGGAGAGGAGAAAGCUGGGAGAUCCCAAACUGACGCUCUUGCCACAAAUUUUGGUACACAGAAAGUGGGAUGUCAAAAGAAAGGAAAGUACACUGGCCAAGUUUGGAUCCAGUUGAUAUUUUGAAGACUAUCAAGGAAUUGGUCGACGAUCUCCUUUCUGAGGAAAAGAAGACAGAAAAGAAUGUUAGGGCCUUCUUGUUUAGCUUCUUAGGUAUGUUGAGUUCCGAUUGUUCUAGGGCUAGCUGGGAUGUAUAGGAAGUUAAUUGCCAUUACCUGCCCUCUCAUUAGCUUGAUAUUUGUGCAGAAGUUUGUUUCAGUGGUCUUCCUGGUCUGUGAAGGCAUUAUUAUUCUUUCUGUGUAGUGCUACUUCUGUAUUUCUCAAAUAUUAAUCCAUGAGUUUUUUCUUUCCAA